GUUUCCGUAUGUUAACCUGCGGAAGGAUCAUUA
RNAcentral lists this ribosomal RNA (33 nucleotides) under Calogaya arnoldii. RNAcentral's name for it is "partial 18S ribosomal RNA". Lineage: Eukaryota; Fungi; Ascomycota; Lecanoromycetes; Teloschistales; Teloschistaceae. The record is from RNAcentral.